Molecule: long non-coding RNA, 1047 nt
Filed under: Monodelphis domestica (gray short-tailed opossum)
Lineage: Eukaryota; Metazoa; Chordata; Mammalia; Didelphimorphia; Didelphidae
Description: lncRNA (ENSMODG00000039446.1)
Source: RNAcentral
GCGGUCAACAGCUCCCCCUGCCCCCAUCAGGUCUUCUGGGAUUCCCCCCAGGCACAAGCAUUUCACCCAGACCGACCCCCAAAAGGGUGGCAGCUGCCAAGUCCCAAACCCGGAGCCCCCUGGCUCAGGCUGCCCAAGGUGGGGUCAUGCUGCCACCUGGUGGAGAGAGCGAGGAGCUGCGGGGCCCUCUCUGCUCCCAGCUCGGGCUCAGGGCGGGAGGAGGAGGUGGCAGGUGACGUCACUGGACCACGCGGUGUGACACUGACAGGACCAGGUGAGCGCCCACCAGAAUACCUAAGCCAGCGCUUAACUGGCUCCCCACUUUUCCUCUUUGCUUCUUCUCUACAGUCCCUGGAAGUCCCCAGAAUUUCCCUUAGGUUCCCCCCCACCCCAGCCCCCACAUCCUCCCUCUAUCUCAUCCUCUCCUACCUGAGCUUGCCUUUCCUACCCAAGAGACUGCACUGCCAUCUUGGCCCGACUCUGGGGCAAAGGACCGGGGAAGGCUUGGAGGGGGCACCAUGGAAGGGUGAUGGGGGAAGCAGCUCGGCCUGUGGCCUGGGGAGCGGAGCCUCUGUGAUCUAUGGUGAAGAGGAGGGGCCCAGGAAGAUGGGGGGUCUGGGACCUGUCCUAAGGUACCCGAGUGAAAGCGUGCUUGCUCUUUCCUCCUUCCUUCCUUCCUUCCUUCCUUCCUUCCUUCCUUUCUUUUCUUUCUUUCUUUCUUUCUUUCUUUCUUUCUUUCUUUCUUUCUUUCUUUCUUUCUUUCUUUCUUUCUUUCUUUCUUUCUUUCUUUCUUUCUUUCUUUCUUUCUUUCUUUCCUUUCUUUCUUUCUUUCUUUCUUUCUUUCUUUCUUUCUUUCUUUCUUUCUUUCUUUCUUUCUUUCUUUCUUUCUUUCUUUCUUUCUUUCUCUCUCUCUCUCUCUCUCUUUCUCCCUUACCUUCUGUCUUAGAAUCAAUACUAAAUGGGGCAGCUGGGUGGCUCAGUGAAUGGAAAGCCAACCCUGGAGAUGAGAGGUCCUGGGUUCAAAUUCAGCCUCAGACACUUUAUUAG